GAAAUUUAAUUCAUAAAUUGGCAUUAAUAUAUCUAGCCUUUAUUAGACCCUCUAGUUAAAAGUUGAAUGUAAAUAGCACAUUAACAUCCUUAUUUAGGUUUUUGAUAUCUGCUCUAAAACUCAUGACACAGGAAAAAGUACUUUUAAUCAAAAAUAAGGCCCACUCUUUCCGGUGUGGAGUCUGGAGACAACGUGCAGAAAUGGCACCUCGAAAGGGGAAGGAAAAGGAAGAACAGGUCAUCAGCCUCUGACCUCAGGUGGCUGAAGGCAAAAACGUAUUUGGUGUCUGCCAUAUCGUUGCAUCCUUCAAUGACACUUUUGUCCAUGUCACUGAUCUUUCUGGCAAAGAAACCCUCUGCCGUGUGACUGGUGGGAUGAAGGUGAAGGCAGACUGAGAUGAAUCCUCGCCAUAUGCUGCUAUGUUGGCUGCCCAGGAUGUGGCUCAGAGGUGCAAGGAACUCUGGGCCACAGGAGGCAAUAGGACCAAGACCCCCGGACCUGGGGCCCAGUCGGCCCUCAGAGCCCUUGCCCCCUCUGGUAUGAAGAUGGGGCAGAUUGAGGACGUCACCCCCAUCCCCUUUGGCAGCACCCACAGGAAGAGGGGUCGCCGUGGUCGCUCUCUGUGAACAAGACUCCUCAAAAUAUUUUCUGUUAAUAAAUUGCCUUCAUG
RNA transcript from Macaca mulatta (Rhesus monkey), 670 nucleotides. It is a transcript of the gene named small ribosomal subunit protein uS11 pseudogene, with no coding region annotated. The record is from RefSeq and is a predicted model, not a curated record. NCBI's taxonomy places the organism in Eukaryota, Metazoa, Chordata, Mammalia, Primates, Cercopithecidae.